CAAACAUUAAUAAGCCACAUGACAUGCUUGGUGAGUCAACCAAAGCGAGGGCAUCUGUCACGGAGGGGCAGGUGGCCAGCUCUUUUUCUUCUGGGAAAGGCAAUUGAAUACGAUAAAAGCCGCUUCCACCGAGUUUGCGUUGCCAAACUCAAUCAGGACAGGGUCUUGGCUUCUCUUAAUGGAAUUAUCCGUCACUGCCUUGCCUUAAGUGGAUGGCAGAAGAGAUGUCCUCUUGGUGUACUCGGGGUGCGCUGCCCUCUAAACAACCCUGCUUCGCACGGCAUUGAUUCUCUCCGACACGGCCUAAAAUAAAAAACAAACUUUGGAUUUCACAGCCAUUUCCUCUUGCUUGUUUGCUGUCAUUUCCUCUCGCCUCGUCGUUUUUUCGAGCCCUCCGCGGAAGGUUAUUGUUUUGGAAAUUGUGUCCGGAAUGUUCUUCGCCGGCUUCCCUUGUGCGUGUUUUGUUUUCGCUUAAAAGUUUUUAUCGCUGGAAAAUAACCAGAGAAGUCAGACAAAGCCAUUUUGUUUUGGCAUUACGGGCAACGUCUCCGGGAUAUUUGAAAAACAGCUCCAUGCAAUGCUGGGAGCAGCUCAGCAUCAGCACAGAUUUCUUCCUUUCUCCUGCUUCAGAAACUGGCCCAA
RNAcentral lists this long non-coding RNA (642 nucleotides) under Pogona vitticeps (central bearded dragon). RNAcentral's name for it is "lncRNA (ENSPVIG00000015096.1)". Lineage: Eukaryota; Metazoa; Chordata; Lepidosauria; Squamata; Agamidae. The record is from RNAcentral.